This 585-nucleotide ribosomal RNA is filed under the name uncultured bacterium. Its description in RNAcentral is "partial 16S ribosomal RNA". It matches the Rfam family "Bacterial small subunit ribosomal RNA", at positions 355 to 1375 of the family's 1533-position model. The record is from RNAcentral.
UGGGGAAUUUUGGACAAUGGGCGAAAGCCUGAUCCAGCAAUGCCGCGUGUGUGAAGAAGGCCUUCGGGUUGUAAAGCACUUUUGUCCGGAAAGAAAUCCUUGGCUCUAAUACAGUCGGGGGAUGACGGUACCGGAAAAAUAAGCACCGGCUAACUACGUGCCAGCAGCCGCGGUAAUACGUAGGGUGCAAGCGUUAAUCGGAAUUACUGGGCGUAAAGCGUGCGCAGGCGGUUUGCUAAGACCGAUGUGAAAUCCCCGGGCUCAACCUGGGAACUGCAUUGGUGACUGGCAGGCUAGAGUAUGGCAGAGGGGGGUAGAAUUCCACGUGUAGCAGUGAAAUGCGUAGAGAUGUGGAGGAAUACCGAUGGCGAAGGCAGCCCCCUGGGCCAAUACUGACGCUCAUGCACGAAAGCGUGGGGAGCAAACAGGAUUAGAUACCCUGGUAGUCCACGCCCUAAACGAUGUCAACUAGUUGUUGGGGAUUCAUUUCCUUAGUAACGUAGCUAACGCGUGAAGUUGACCGCCUGGGGAGUACGGUCGCAAGAUUAAAACUCAAAUGAAUUGACGGGGUCAUAGCUGUUUCCU